UACGUAGGGUGCGAGCGUUAAUCGGAAUUACUGGGCGUAAAGCGUGCGCAGGCGGCUUUGCAAGACAGAUGUGAAAUCCCCGGGCUCAACCUGGGAACUGCAUUUGUGACUGCAAGGCUAGAGUACGGCAGAGGGGGAUGGAAUUCCGCGUGUAGCAGUGAAAUGCGUAGAUAUGCGGAGGAACACCAAUGGCGAAGGCAAUCCCCUGGGCCUGUACUGACGCUCAUGCACGAAAGCGUGGGGAGCAAAUAGG
RNAcentral lists this ribosomal RNA (253 nucleotides) under uncultured bacterium. RNAcentral's name for it is "partial 16S ribosomal RNA". It matches the Rfam family "Bacterial small subunit ribosomal RNA", at positions 524 to 776 of the family's 1533-position model. The record is from RNAcentral.